CUAUGCCAUUUGGUAUCUGACUCACAGUCAUUUUUUGUGAUUGUGUGUCUCGAAACAUGGCAGAAAACAAGGGGGAACGGAUCUUGCGACACUGGUUGCUCAUUUAUGAGCUUCCAGUUACUAUAUGCCCGUUUACAUCU
Sorghum bicolor (sorghum) is the source of this 140-nucleotide small nucleolar RNA. It matches the Rfam family "Small nucleolar RNA F1/F2/snoR5a". From Rfam's summary of the family: This family contains F1, F2 and snoR5a sequences, all of which are members of the the H/ACA class of snoRNA that guide the sites of modification of uridines to pseudouridines. The record is from Rfam. NCBI's taxonomy places the organism in Eukaryota, Viridiplantae, Streptophyta, Magnoliopsida, Poales, Poaceae.